RNAcentral lists this ribosomal RNA (207 nucleotides) under uncultured bacterium. RNAcentral's name for it is "partial 16S ribosomal RNA". It matches the Rfam family "Bacterial small subunit ribosomal RNA", at positions 568 to 774 of the family's 1533-position model. The record is from RNAcentral.
CGCGUAGGCGGCGCGAUCAGUGUGGAGUGAAAUCCCACGGCUUACCCGUGGAACUGCUCUGCAUACUGUCGUGCUCGAGGACGGUAGGGGAGAGCGGAACUCUUGGAGGAGCGGUGAAAUGCGUAGAUAUCAAGAGGAACACCAAUGGCGAAGGCAGCUCUCUGGUCCGUUUCUGACGCUGAGGCGCGAAAGCUAGGGUAGCGAACG